GGGCCGUUAGCUCAAUUGGUAGAGCGUUCGCAUGGCAUGCGAAAGGUAGCGGGUUCGAAUCCCGCACGGUCCACCA
Molecule: transfer RNA, 76 nt
Filed under: Candidatus Jorgensenbacteria bacterium RIFCSPHIGHO2_02_FULL_45_20
Lineage: Bacteria; Candidatus Joergenseniibacteriota
Description: tRNA-Ala
Rfam family: tRNA
About the family: Transfer RNA (tRNA) molecules are approximately 80 nucleotides in length.
Source: RNAcentral